UGGGGAAUAUUGCACAAUGGGCGAAAGCCUGAUGCAGCGACGCCGCGUGAGGGAUGACGGCCUUCGGGUUGUAAACCUCUUUCAGCAGGGAAGAAGCGAAAGUGACGGUACCUGCAGAAGAAGCGCCGGCUAACUACGUGCCAGCAGCCGCGGUAAUACGUAGGGCGCAAGCGUUGUCCGGAAUUAUUGGGCGUAAAGAGCUCGUAGGCGGUUAGUCGCGUCUGCUGUGAAAACUCGAGGCUCAACCUCGGGCUUGCAGUGGGUACGGGCUGACUAGAGUGCGGUAGGGGUGACUGGAAUUCCUGGUGUAGCGGUGGAAUGCGCAGAUAUCAGGAGGAACACCGAUGGCGAAGGCAGGUCACUGGGCCGCAACUGACGCUGAGGAGCGAAAGCAUGGGGAGCGAACAGGAUUAGAUACCCUGGUAGUCCAUGCCGUAAACGUUGGGCACUAGGUGUGGGGUCCAUUCCACGGAUUCCGUGCCGCAGCAAACGCAUUAAGUGCCCCGCCUGGGGAGUACGGCCGCAAGGCUAAAACUCAAAGGAAUUGACGGGGUCAUAGCUG
RNAcentral lists this ribosomal RNA (562 nucleotides) under uncultured bacterium. Its description in RNAcentral is "partial 16S ribosomal RNA". It matches the Rfam family "Bacterial small subunit ribosomal RNA", at positions 355 to 932 of the family's 1533-position model. The record is from RNAcentral.